Molecule: long non-coding RNA, 1382 nt
Organism: Bos taurus (domestic cattle)
Lineage: Eukaryota; Metazoa; Chordata; Mammalia; Artiodactyla; Bovidae
Source: Ensembl
GGGCGGGGCCGGCUCCAGGAGGUGUGCGGCGCGCAGGCGCGGGUUCUCUGGGACUGGGCGCUGGGCUCGCAGGGGUUUCCGGCGGUCGGAGCCAGGCGCUGGGCGCACUGCGUCCUCCGUUUCUCCUCGGGAUGCACGCGCAGGUCGGCCCAGGGCACGUCGGCUCACAGGGCCGGGGGUCGGCGGACAGGGCGCGAGCCGGGCGACCUGGCCCGACCCCCCUCGGAGACCUCGUCCCCUGACCGAUGCUUCGAGAACCUUCCCCAGAUCAGCCGCCUCUGGAAGCCGCCAGGAGCAUUCUGCCUCGCGCUGACUGAAAGCCAGAGUCCCUGCAGCGCCUGACCCCUGGCUCCCCAAACUUCCUGCUUCCGCCUCCAAGAGCUCAGAACCAGCUGGGCCUCGGGACGGGAUUCCUGACGCCAACUGCAGGCUUGGGGUCUGCAGAAUGGAUGACCCUCAGGUUUGCCAGUCUCCUGGGAGUGGUCACAGUGCAAGCAAGGGCUCAGUCAGGCUGACUGGCGUCCUUCAUAAGGACUUGAAGACACAAAGGUGAUCACAGGGACACGGAGGACGGUGGCCACCCACAAGCCAAGGAGAGGCCUCAGGAGCAACCAAACCAGCUGACACCUUGACCUUGCACUCCCAGCCUCCAGACUGUGAAGCUGGCCUCUGCGCCUCCACACAGGAGCCUACUGCUGAAGCUGCCUGGUCUGCAGGGCUUUGUUUGGCGAGCGCGGCAAGCAAACAGCCUGGGCUUUAGGGACAGAGACCAAGAGCUGUCCUCCAAAAGGCCCCCCUGACAGCAGCCUGCAGGGGUCUUGGAGGCUGGCGCCCUCGGCCAGGCGAGGGACGAAGCUGUGGUGCCUUGAGGUCUACAGUCUGAGCGGCUGAUGGCUUCCUGGGUGACAGUCAAGCCUGUUAGAAGUAGCUGCUGUUGGCAUAGCAACCAGGAGCCAUCUUGCGUACUUUCCAGAUUAAAAAAGCUCCCUGCUUCAGGACUGAGGGGACAAAGAUGUAAAAGCGGAGAUGAAAUUGAGUUACUGACGGGAGCGGUUGCCAUGGCGCCCUGUUGGCCUUGGAGCGGGCCAGCUGCUGCGGGGGGUCCCUCCCUUCUCGGGGCAGAUGAGGGUUUGAGAGGCGGUGAAGAUCAGCACCCCACAGUGCGGGAGGGAAAGAGAAGGUGUGCUUUAACUGGAGAGGGGAGUGAAUAAUGGGAACUCAUAUUUUGAGAAUAACUAUACGGCCAAUAUACAGAGCUGCUCAAAAUCUAAAGUCUCUGGCUGAGAAUUUGUUUAAAAUGUUUGCUGACAAGCAGUGUGUCUGAGGUGGGGUCUGAGGUCCCGCAUCUGAAUGUUGGACUGUGGGGAAAGACACUUCCACCC